This is a small nucleolar RNA of Anguilla anguilla (European eel), 84 nucleotides long. RefSeq annotates it as small nucleolar RNA SNORD79. NCBI's taxonomy places the organism in Eukaryota, Metazoa, Chordata, Actinopteri, Anguilliformes, Anguillidae. The transcript has a single exon. The record is from RefSeq and is a predicted model, not a curated record.
UACUGUUUAUGAUGAUUGAUUUAUAAAAAAACAAUGGGAAUCUCUCUGAAAAAGAUGAGGGAGAAUUUUUCAACUGAAACAGUG